Pyrgilauda ruficollis (rufous-necked snowfinch) is the source of this 4993-nucleotide long non-coding RNA. RefSeq lists it as uncharacterized. The transcript is spliced from 9 exons. The record is from RefSeq and is a predicted model, not a curated record. Lineage: Eukaryota; Metazoa; Chordata; Aves; Passeriformes; Passeridae.
AGGGAAAUGUCACCCGGAGCCCGGGCCCGCGGGGGAGAGGUGGCGCGUUAGAGAUGUGUGUGGGAGAGAGGGAGCGAGAGAGAGAGAGAGAGAGGGGGAGCGAGACCUCCGCUGGCCCCGCGAACUUGUCAAGUACAAAACACCAAGCUUUUGGGCUCAAAAAGCCUAGACCAUCAUGGCUACGAAAAUAACUGCUGCUCAGAGAGUAUGUAAUUCUGGAGCUCCUUAAGGAAAAAAAGCAGUGCGAUGCAACAUCAGAACAGUGGCUAAGUGAUCUUCUCCACAGCAGCCGUGAACUUCAACCUUGAACCGAAGAAGACCCAUCAAAUGCCUUAAGAAAGACAGUAUGGAGGUGGAAGAGAAGCAUGGAUCUCCAUGAAGGGCAGUCAGUUAUAGUCAUGGUCAGCAUGCUUGGUUGAUCUGCCAGUCUACACAUGUAGCUCAGACCUGGCCACAGUGUGAGCUGCCUCCUGUUCUCCUAAACGUCAGAAGCUGAAAUUCAGAGAAAUCUGUUUAGAAGGGAAUGGGAAAACAGCCAGGCUAGCUUCGGCACAAGAGUGUUGGUGGCACCUGUAAGCAUGCAGGUGUGUGGAGGAACAGGUCCUGUUCUCGCUGUUGUUACUCCCACAUAGGCAGACUCUGUAAUUGAUUAUGUGUGGGUAGGGCCCUAUUGAAAUUCAGGAGAUUCUGCAGUAGUGCGGGGUUCUUUUUGUGAAAGUUCAGUUGCAAGAUCAGGACCCUACUGUGACUCCUUACUGUGCAUUCUGUCACUGUCUCAUUGAUUGUACUGGAACCUGCUUAUUGAGAUAAUUACCAAAUACUAUAUUCCUCAAAACUUCUUAAUGGCACUGAGGCUUUGUGGAUAGUUGGUCACAUGAUGAGAAAAUUCAGCUGUAAUUCACCAUGGGACCCUGAAGUUAUUCCCUACUGCAAUUAGGCUCAUCAGGACUACUUCUACCUGAUACCUCUUCUUCAGUAUCAAGAGGUUGACUCUGGUUUUGAUCAACGUAUGAUGCCAACUUCCAUCAUUUGGUCAUUAAAGUUUCAGACCACACUGAAUAUUUUCUCCUCAGCUGUAUGGUUGACUUCUUCAUAAACAGAAGUGUUCAUUAUCUUCCCUCUAUUUUUUUCUUGAAAGUUUUACGUACUGUGAAGCUUUAAGAAAUCCAACUAGACAACAGUUAUGCUGCAGGUGUAUUAAUGCCAAUGCCUAUCACAGUAAUACUGUGUCAUUGCAUUUGGAUUCUGCCAUAAUCCCUCUGUUGUCUCUUUAUGUAAAAUUUAAGCAUAUCUAUAUUUUGUUGUGUAUUUAUUAAUGGCCCAGUGUAACACAAAGUGGCCCAUGGUGAGACCUUCCAAGAUUUAUGGUAGUACAGAUAAAUAACAAUGAAUACACACUGGCUGUUGCAGCAUAGCUGUUGGAGUCUGUUGUGCCUAAUGCCACUUCAUAAUUUAAUGCAGAAAGAAGGUGCUCCAACCAGAGGCCUCACAAACGGAAAAUAAGUUAGUUGCACCCAAUAGAAAAAAUGCUAGCCCCAGAGACCUUGUCAGCUGUCAAACUCAAGCCUGUAGCUAUUGCCAUUUUGUCCUGAAAGCAUUCCUCUCCUCUCCUCUCCUCUCCUCUCCUCUCCUCUCCUCUCCUCUCCUCUCCUCUCCUCGAACAGAUUCUCCCUUCUCAUAUGAGGAAGUAAAUGCAAGUAUCACAAAGGUCUGCAGUGUGUGCAGAAGGUCUUAUACAUUUGUAGCAGACCUCAUGUAUUUAAUUCCUGACACAGCAUCUCUUGGUACAGAAAUCUUGAAUAACCAUAACUGUGCCAUUCGUCACUCCUUUUUUUCAAAUGCCAUUUGAUCUCUGUUGGGAAGGAACCUACACUGGUUUUUAUUUGGUAUCUUGGCACAUCCCUAUCUCAUAAUGCUCUGCUUCCAUUGUGCUUCAAAAGUAGAGUCUUCAGAAAAGUGGUAAGGAUUAAUUCAAUUGGGAAUUCCCCAGGUAUGUCACCCUCUUUCUGUAAGUGGGUCUGCAUGUAACCCUUUCUUUUAAAGGCACACUGAAAUGUCAGUGUUUAGAUUGUACAGAGCUGAUGGAAUGUUGAGUGCCUGACUGAUUGCAGAGAUGGUAGAUUGGACUGUGCAGACAAAUGUUGCAGUAGGUACCAAAGAAAAUAUAGUCCAAUAAUCUAAUUUUAUCAGAAUAAACCACAAAAUGUAGUUCUAUAUGGUUCUAUGGCUGAGUAGGAGAACUUUAGUAAGAGCUGUGGGCUAGUUGGUGAGGUGGAGGUGAAAUACUGUGGGAGGCUGGGGAGUCUGUACAACCCAAAAGCUUGAUCAUAGCAACAGUUCUUGGUUAUAUAUGUGUAGACUGGAUAAACUUAAUGUUAGGCCUCAUUAGGCUGUCAUGCACAGGCUGUGUAUUUAGAUAUCACUGAGCAGUAAUUAUUGAACAAACAAGAUAGGGAAUCCAGAGCCCUUGACUUAGUCUAGAUCAACAUGCAACAAAUGACUGUGGAAGAACCAUUCACUAGUGAGAUAUCAUACUCAAGUGUGUCGUACUUGUGGGAGAAAAAAAGAUUAAAAUAAAAAAUUUUAAAAGUCCAGUAUUGUUUAAAAAAAGAAUUGUACACUAAUGAAGACACACUUUAAAUAAAUAUUAAAAAUACAUGGGGGCUUUGUUUUCUGGUUCUAACCCGAUUAAAUAAGACUUUUCCAACACAGUUCAGCAGUAAAAGAAGCUACUAGAAAUAAAUAGAGGUUUUUAAAAAAGCAAAAUCCAAGCAAGCAAAGCAGAAAAGAGCACAAUUCUGGCAAGUGUAGACCUAGUAUGAGGCAGAAGAAAAAGAUUUUUAAAUGCAAUGGCCUAAAAUUCUAAAAGCCAAACCCCAUCUUUUUCCAGUGUAAAUUUUGCUAGAUGAGAGGUGAGGUUAGUAGAUAGUUGUGGUUAAGGAGAAAGACAAAGCCAUUACAGAAAGAAAUUGAACUCAUUUCUGCUGGCAAGGUUUAUGACAGGAUGAUUAGGGACAUCCCCAAAUAGGAGUUGUUUUUAUAGGGAGUAGUUCAGAAUUGAUAUCUCAAUACAAGGUUUUUAAACAAAUUGAUUGAGUACACAUUAAUAAAUUGCCCAAUAACAUGCUGUUCAUUCAGUAGUCCUAGAAAAAUUCAGAAAUUAAAUUGAGCAUGGUGAGCAAACCAUGAACUGUCUUGUGUAAUCUGGUACUUAAAUUAGCCUUGAUAACAGAGGAAUGGAAAGUAACAAAUGUGACCCUAGUUUUGAAAAGGGUUUUAGGGAUGGUCAUGGACUAAUGGACUAAAAAGUCAGGCCAUCAUGACAGACAAAAUGGCAGUGAUUGUGAUAAAGUGUACUGUUUAUAGGAUGAAUGGUGAACAUGGAUAGGUGUGAUAGCAACCAUCAUGCCUUUUGUACAAGUAGUUUUGUCUUAGAGUUUUUCUAGUUAUUUGAAAGAGUCAUUUCCAGAUGCACAGGAAAAAGUGACCCAAAAGUUUUUUAAAAGUUCUGUAACUGAAGACUGUUAACAAAAUGAAGUAGGGAGUCACUUAAAAUUCUUUGUAGAUUAGUCAAGGGUUAGAAGAUAAGGAACAGUACAGAACUAAUGGGGAGUUUUAACACUACCUCCUCAUGGAGAUUUGUACUGGCACCUUUGCUGGUCCACCUGUUCCUAAACAGCCUGGAAAAGUGCAAUUGUAAAUAUUGCAGAUGGUAAAAGGAAAAUAUUCACGGUUGGAGGCAGACCUAAUGUUGACCCUGAAGAGCUGCAGAAGGAUCUCACAGCAGGACCUGUGGUGAUCCAGGAGCUGUGGCUGUCACAGUGGCCAGAUAUCGCUGACCCCACUGUUCAGCUGAAUCCAUCAUCAGAGAGUGGCAGUGGCUGUUGGAUUACAGCAGCCAUCAGCCCAUAAACCGUGAGCUCAGCAGGCUGUGACCAGUCCUGCCACUCAGGAAGGCAGGGACUUGUAGCUGUUCUUUUUAACAGCAGGGGCUGCAAAAUGGAGAGAAGGUUCUUUCUCCCUGUUUUCUCAGAGUUUCAUAACCCCAGUGAGCUUAAAGUAUGUGUUUUGAACUUGGAGUUCCUGCCUGCUACAAGGUUGAAAUAUUACUGUUAAAGUGAUAGGUAAUGUCUUGCUGCUGCUCUGAGAAGCCAGGGCUCUCAAGCCACUUUACUGGUGUUUGCAUGGAUUUUUAGCAGCUUCUGUUAAUUUCUUAAAAUCAUUCUGGAUCUGUAAAUAAGUUUAUUGUCCUCAUUGAUUGAUGAUAAAUUUUUAAACAUUAAUCAAGUGCAUACAGUUCCCAUUUACUUAAAUCUGUAGAUGUUUUUUUAUUGUUCCUUUUUCUAGCAGUAGCAAUAUUAUGGAUGUGCAGCUCAGUUUUACUUCUACUGUUCACAAACCUGUGGGCAAUGGCAAAUGCCAGUUUGCUGCUGCUUCAGAAGCUAAAAGCAGGCCCUAAAAUGAAUCCCAUGGGAAAUCAGAUAAAGAAGCAGAAAUAUUUCAUGCAGCAACCAGAAGGUCUGGAGGGAGGGAUGGAGCAGAAGAUAUCAUUGUACCUUUGCAACAGCUGGAAUGGUUUCCAAGCUGUUGUCUGCAAAUCCCUAGUGGACUCCAAGGCUAUGGUGAAUUGAACAUCUGUUUGGCUAAACCAUAACUGUGCUUUAAAUAGUGUUUCCAAUUAAAAGUUUGAUCAGAUGGGUGUGUGGUGGCUUUUGAAAAUUGCUGAGGACUGAUAGUGAUCUGUUGCUCAAAACAAAGUGGGAACUGAUGUUCUGGAGUGUAUGAAAAAUUAGAGAGCACUCCCUACCUUCUCAGUUUUAGGUACAUGGCAUUCUCACAAGAAGCAACAGCAAGAGGUGCCCUUUCUGGUGCCCAUCACACCUUCCCCAGUAACAGAAGUAUGGGGUUCUGAAUCAUCGUAUUGUCCUUGAGUAUCCCUGAAAUUCUUCACUAGUCCUACUUUUCAUAUGUAUUCCCAAACAGUAGGUUUCAU